UAGAUUUGUUAUUACAUAAUUUGAGAUAUGUAUAAUAAUUUAGCAAAAAAGUAUAAUACUCUCUCUCUUUCAUUAUAAGUGUCGUUUUAGGUUUCGGCACACGAAUUAAGGAAACAAUUAAUUUUGUACAUUUCUUAUAAAAAAUCACUAUUACCUAUACAUCUAACCAUAUUUCAACCAAUAGAAAAACAAAUUUUGCAUAAAAUUAAUAAAUUUUGUACUGAAAAUCGAAAACAACACUUAUUUUGUAACGAAAAAAAUUCUCUAAAGUGACGCUUAACAUGCAACAGAGGGAGAGGGAGUAGUUAACCGUACAUUGUCGUCUUAACGAAGCUUGUGAUUUGAUAUAUAGUAUUCAUUUAAUUUGAUAAUUUUUAUAAUCCUGUGAUACAUGUAUUUAUAUAUACAUCAAAAUAUAUGUAGUGUUGGUCUAAUUAAUUCAUGUAACUGUGUUAAUGAAACGUGUGAUUUCAAAUAUAGUAAC
This 484-nucleotide long non-coding RNA is filed under the name Brassica napus (rape). RNAcentral describes it as "long non-coding RNA (BNAP_LNC022422)". Lineage: Eukaryota; Viridiplantae; Streptophyta; Magnoliopsida; Brassicales; Brassicaceae. The record is from RNAcentral.